GCUGAGAACACUAGCAAGUUUUUGCUGGAAGUCACCAAGAUCAGGACAUCUGUGCAGCUGUAAGAGAUCAACAAUCCCAUCGUGUCUCAUGGCUGUAUUUAUAAAGAGAGCAGCACAUACUUCCUAGGUCCAUGCUGUAUGGCAGCAACAAUGGGCUGAUACUAUUCUACUGUCAUGAUCCAAAAGAGCCCAGAUGCCGUGAAACAACUUUCUACCCAAGGCAGACAAAGCUCACCAUUUUUCCACUUCACUGUUUAUCCCACCGCCUCUGUAAAACCUACACAAUAAAAACAUGCCAAAUGAUGUCUUCA
Molecule: long non-coding RNA, 311 nt
Organism: Herpailurus yagouaroundi (jaguarundi)
Lineage: Eukaryota; Metazoa; Chordata; Mammalia; Carnivora; Felidae
Exons: 2
Source: RefSeq, a predicted model, not a curated record